GUGUGUAUGUACAUCUAUGUGUAUGUGUAUCUGUAUGAAUGCAUACCUGUGUAUGUGUACUUGUGUGACAAAGUGUGUGUAUUUCUGAGCAUAUGUGUGUGUGUGUGUGUCAGUAUGUGUAAGUGUGUAUCUAUGUGUGUGGCAAUGCAUUCAUCCCAGCAUUCUAAUGCCAACACUGCACACACAUACGCUAACCCUGCACACAAAUAC
This is a non-coding RNA of Pelobates cultripes (western spadefoot toad), 210 nucleotides long. The record is from the annotation of a GenBank genome assembly. NCBI's taxonomy places the organism in Eukaryota, Metazoa, Chordata, Amphibia, Anura, Pelobatidae.